UAGGGAAUCUUCCGCAAUGGACGCAAGUCUGACGGAGCAACGCCGCGUGAGUGAAGAAGGAUUUCGGUUCGUAAAACUCUGUUGUUAGAGAAGAACAGCGCAUAGAGUAACUGUUAUGCGUGUGACGGUAUCUAACCAGAAAGCCACGGCUAACUACGUGCCAGCAGCCGCGGUAAUACGUAGGUGGCAAGCGUUGUCCGGAUUUAUUGGGCGUAAAGCGAGCGCAGGCGGUCAAUUAAGUCUGAUGUGAAAGCCCCCGGCUCAACCGGGGAGGGUCAUUGGAAACUGGUUGACUUGAGUGCAGAAGAGGAGAGUGGAAUUCCAUGUGUAGCGGUGAAAUGCGUAGAUAUAUGGAGGAACACCAGUGGCGAAGGCGACUCUCUGGUCUGUAACUGGCGCUGAGGCUCGAAAGCGUGGGUAGCAAACAGG
This 429-nucleotide ribosomal RNA is filed under the name Bacteroidota bacterium. Its description in RNAcentral is "Bacteroidetes bacterium partial 16S ribosomal RNA". It matches the Rfam family "Bacterial small subunit ribosomal RNA", at positions 355 to 776 of the family's 1533-position model. Lineage: Bacteria; Pseudomonadati; Bacteroidota. The record is from RNAcentral.